This 483-nucleotide ribosomal RNA is filed under the name uncultured bacterium. Its description in RNAcentral is "bacterial SSU rRNA". It matches the Rfam family "Bacterial small subunit ribosomal RNA", at positions 19 to 518 of the family's 1533-position model. The record is from RNAcentral.
AUGGCUCAGGACGAACGCUGGCGGCGUGCCUAACACAUGCAAGUCGAGCGAGGAGAUCCUUCGGGAUGAUCCUAGCGGCGGACGGGUGAGUAACACGUGGGCAACCUGCCUCAUAGAGAGGAAUAGCCUUCCGAAAGGGAGAUUAAUACCUCAUAACAUUGCAGUUUCGCAUGGAACAGCAAUUAAAGGAGCAAUCCGCUAUGAGAUGGGCCCGCGGCGCAUUAGCUAGUUGGUGAGGUAACGGCUCACCAAGGCGACGAUGCGUAGCCGACCUGAGAGGGUGAUCGGCCACAUUGGGACUGAGACACGGCCCAGACUCCUACGGGAGGCAGCAGGUGGGGAAUAUUGCACAAUGGGGGAAACCCUGAUGCAAGCAACGCCGCGUGAGUGAUGACGGCCUUCGGGUUGUAAAGCUCUGUCUUCAGGGACGAUAAUGACGGUACCUGAGGAGGAAGCCACGGCUAACUACGUGCCAGCAGCGGC